RNAcentral lists this long non-coding RNA (653 nucleotides) under Equus caballus (horse). RNAcentral's name for it is "lncRNA (ENSECAG00000058286.1)". The record is from RNAcentral. Lineage: Eukaryota; Metazoa; Chordata; Mammalia; Perissodactyla; Equidae.
GGAUAAUCGUCCCAAGAUAGCUGUGCUUCAUUAGCCGAGACUUUCUAGCUGGAUCUGGAAUACUGGCUACGGCAUCGUGUGCGUUACUGAAAUGAGUUAAGCGGUUGACACCUUGAGCACAGAAAGACUCAACUUUGAAGCUCUGACUCAUGACCUUGAAACUGAAAGACUCGCUGGGAGCUCCGCGGAUCCAGCUGUCCGACGAGGCUGACACAUUCUGCUCUAAAGAGAAGACCUAAUUUCUCUCCGCGAGCCGUGCUUUCGCCUGGCUGGCCAUUUCUCUCGUAGCGCGAAGAUCGGUUCCUCAGGAUUCAGUUUUGGAACUGUCCCGGAUCCCGGGUAACUGGAUUCGCAGCACGCAGAGUCCACAGGGAAGGUGAAUCCCCAGGGACACCCACGGUAGCUACGUGCUGAAUUAUUGACUAAAUAAAGGAGUCUCAACCCACUGCCUUGCCUUAUUACAGAGGUUCAGCUUCUCUGCCUCGACCAUUUUGCUAAUGUCCUGUUUCUCCUCCUGGCUUUUGGACUCACUCUCAUCUCUCUCCAAUCCAUUUUUCACGGGGCUGGCCUGUCUUGCCGUCUCACUCCUGAAAUUCUAUCCACCGGCCCUCCCCACAGCCUGACACUUGUUAAUCCUCCUUCGCGCAGUGUUG